This 129-nucleotide transfer-messenger RNA is filed under the name Odoribacter sp. RNAcentral describes it as "partial transfer-messenger RNA". It matches the Rfam family "transfer-messenger RNA", at positions 236 to 374 of the family's 374-position model. Rfam says of the family: Bacterial tmRNA, also known as 10Sa RNA or SsrA, is named for its dual tRNA and mRNA-like properties. Its role is to liberate the mRNA from a stalled ribosome. Lineage: Bacteria; Pseudomonadati; Bacteroidota; Bacteroidia; Bacteroidales; Odoribacteraceae. The record is from RNAcentral.
UUAAGAGGAUAAGCGAUGGCUUGGGUGUCACUUUCCGGACCAUCGUCGAAAACCAAUAAGUGACUAAGCAUGUAGAAAGCAUAUGGAUUCCGUGUUUGGACCAGGGUUCGAUUCCCUGCUGCUCCACGA